CAUUUUCGAGAAGGGUGAGCCGAAUCAAAGGCAUUAUUCUUGUCAACCUCAGAAGCAAAAUUGACCAUAACUUUUAUAUACGAUGGUUCUAUACAAUGAACCUGUGACUUAACGAAUCAAAGUAUGAAUGAAAAGAAACAAGAAUAUAUAGCAAACGAAAUUGGGAGAUGUAUAAAGAAUCAGUAUAGCAAGGAAACGUAUACCCCGUAUAUAAUAGU
Molecule: non-coding RNA, 218 nt
Organism: Schizosaccharomyces pombe (fission yeast)
Lineage: Eukaryota; Fungi; Ascomycota; Schizosaccharomycetes; Schizosaccharomycetales; Schizosaccharomycetaceae
Source: the annotation of a GenBank genome assembly